UACGGAGGGUGCAAGCGUUGUUCGGAAUCACUGGGCGUAAAGGGCGUGUAGGCGGUCCGCUAAGUCUGAUGUGAAAGCCCGGGGCUCACCCCCGGAAGGGCAUUGGAAACUGGCGGACUCGAGUCCCGGAGAGGAAGGUGGAAUUCCUGGUGUAGCGGUGAAAUGCGUAGAGAUCAGGAGGAAUACCGGUGGCGAAGGCGGCCUUCUGGACGGUGACUGACGCUGAGACGCGAAAGAGUGGGGAGCAAACAGG
RNAcentral lists this ribosomal RNA (253 nucleotides) under uncultured bacterium. RNAcentral's name for it is "partial 16S ribosomal RNA". It matches the Rfam family "Bacterial small subunit ribosomal RNA", at positions 524 to 776 of the family's 1533-position model. The record is from RNAcentral.